RNAcentral lists this long non-coding RNA (213 nucleotides) under Elaeis guineensis (African oil palm). RNAcentral describes it as "long non-coding RNA (EGUI_LNC076219)". The record is from RNAcentral. Lineage: Eukaryota; Viridiplantae; Streptophyta; Magnoliopsida; Arecales; Arecaceae.
GCCUACCUGACGACUGUCAAGAAGAGGAAGAAGGAUACACCUUCUGAAGGUACAUCUGAUAUGUUCAUUAUUGAAACUAAUCUUAUGAUUUCUUCUUCUUUUAGUUGGGUUCUAGAUUUUAGUUCAAGUGCUCAUUUGUUUGCUUCCAUACAGGGUCUUGAAGAAGUGAGAGGACUGAGGAAAGGCGAGAUCACUCUUCAGGUCGAUAAUGGA